Molecule: ribosomal RNA, 254 nt
Filed under: uncultured bacterium
Lineage: Bacteria
Description: partial 16S ribosomal RNA
Rfam family: Bacterial small subunit ribosomal RNA
Source: RNAcentral
UACGGAGGGUGCGAGCGUUAUCCGGAAUCACUGGGGUUAAAGGGUGCGUAGGCGGUCAGAUAAGUCAGUCGUGAAAUUCCCCGGCUUAACCGGCGGGACUGCGAUUGAUACUGUUUGACUUGAAUCAAGUUGAGGCAGGCGGAAUGUGACAUGUAGCGGUGAAAUGCUUAGAUAUGUCAUAGAACACCGAUUGCGAAGGCAGCUUGCUGGGCUUUGAUUGACGCUGAGGCACGAAAGCGUGGGGAGCAAACAGG